CAGAGGGUGCGAGCGUUAAUCGGAAUUACUGGGCGUAAAGCGUGCGUAGACGGCUAUCUAAGUCGGGUGUGAAAGCCCCGGGCUCAACCUGGGAAUUGCAUUCGAGACUGAAUAGCUAGGGUACGGUAGAGGGAAGUGGAAUUUCCGGUGUAGCGGUGAAAUGCGUAGAUAUCGGAAGGAACAUCAGUGGCGAAAGCGACUUCCUGGACCAGUACCGACGUUCAGGCACGAAAGCGUGGGGAGCAAACAGGAUUAGAUACCCUGGUAGUCCACACCAUAAACGAUGAGGACUAGACGUUGGAGGGGUAAGCCUUUCAGUGUCGUAGCUAACGCGCUAAGUCCUCCGCCUGGGGAGUACGGCCGCAAGGUUG
RNAcentral lists this ribosomal RNA (371 nucleotides) under uncultured organism. RNAcentral's name for it is "bacterial SSU rRNA". It matches the Rfam family "Bacterial small subunit ribosomal RNA", at positions 526 to 896 of the family's 1533-position model. The record is from RNAcentral.